CCUACGGGUGGCAGCAGUGGGGAAUAUUGGGCAAUGGAGGCAACUCUGACCCAGCAAUGCCGCGUGAAUGCAGACGGUCCUCGGAUUGUAAAGUUCUUUAAUCAGGGACGAAAAAGAUGACGAUACCUGAGGAAUAAGCCACGACAAACUAUGUUCCAGCAGCCGCGGUAAUACAUAGGUGUCAAGCAGUGUCCGGAAUGACUGGGCGUAAAGGGAGCGUAGGCGGUCUGCUAAGUUGGAAGUGAAAUCCCGGGGCUCAACCCCGGAACUGCUUUCAAGACUGACGGACUUGAGUGUAAGGGGGGUAAGCGGAAUUGCUAGUGUAGCGGUGGAAUGCGUAGAUAUUAGGAGGAACACUAGUGGCGAAGGCGGCUUACGGGAUUAUAACUGACGCUGAGGCUCGAAAGCGUGGGUAGCAAACAGGAUUAGAUACCCUGGUAGUC
This 443-nucleotide ribosomal RNA is filed under the name uncultured bacterium. Its description in RNAcentral is "partial 16S ribosomal RNA". It matches the Rfam family "Bacterial small subunit ribosomal RNA", at positions 338 to 795 of the family's 1533-position model. The record is from RNAcentral.